RNAcentral lists this small RNA (109 nucleotides) under Oryza sativa Japonica Group (Japanese rice). RNAcentral's name for it is "sRNA Os09g0349675". The record is from RNAcentral. Lineage: Eukaryota; Viridiplantae; Streptophyta; Magnoliopsida; Poales; Poaceae.
UCGAUAGUCCAAAAUCUGCUAUCUUUGCUUUAAAAUUUUGACCCAAUAAAAUGUUGUUCGUCUUCACAUCCCCAUGAAUUAUUGGUAGGUUGCAACCCUUAUGUAGAUA